Molecule: transfer RNA, 72 nt
Filed under: Bos taurus (domestic cattle)
Lineage: Eukaryota; Metazoa; Chordata; Mammalia; Artiodactyla; Bovidae
Also listed under: 4 other names
Rfam family: tRNA
About the family: Transfer RNA (tRNA) molecules are approximately 80 nucleotides in length.
Source: Rfam by way of RNAcentral
UCCCUGGUAGCUCAGAUGGUAAAGCAUCUGCCUGCAAUGUGGGAGACCUGGGUUCAAUCCCUAGGUCGGGAA